CUGGGAAUGGGCAACAGGGGGUGGAUCAUUUGAUGAUUACCUGUUCUGUUCAUUCCCUCUGGGGCACCUGGCAUUGGCCGCUGUCAGAAGACAGGAUACUGGGCUAGAUGGACCUUUGAGCUGACCCAAUGUGGCCGUACUUAUGUAUAUUAUUAAUUUAAA
Long non-coding RNA from Dermochelys coriacea (leatherback sea turtle), 162 nucleotides. RefSeq lists it as uncharacterized. NCBI's taxonomy places the organism in Eukaryota, Metazoa, Chordata, Testudines, Dermochelyidae. The transcript has 3 exons. The record is from RefSeq and is a predicted model, not a curated record.